CGACGAGUGGCGGACGGGUGAGUAAUACUUAGGAAUCUGCCCAGCAUGGGGGACAACUCGGGGAAACUCGAGCUAAUACCGCAUACGCCCUAAGGGGGAAAGCGGGGGGAUCUUCGGACCUCGCGCUAUUGGAUGAGCCUAAGUCGGAUUAGCUUGUAGGUAGGGUAACGGCCUACCUAGGCGACGAUCCGUAGCUGGUCUGAGAGGACGAUCAGCCACACUGGGACUGAGAUACGGCCCAG
This 242-nucleotide ribosomal RNA is filed under the name uncultured bacterium. RNAcentral's name for it is "partial 16S ribosomal RNA". It matches the Rfam family "Bacterial small subunit ribosomal RNA", at positions 89 to 334 of the family's 1533-position model. The record is from RNAcentral.